UUAAGCGACUAAGCGUACACGGUGGAUGCCCUGGCAGUCAGAGGCGAUGAAGGACGUGCUAAUCUGCGAAAAGCGCCGGCGAGGUGAUAUGAACCUUUGACCCGGCGAUGUCCGAAUGGGGAAACCCAGUGCAAUCCGUUGCACUAUCGUUAACUGAAUACAUAGGUUAACGAGGCGAACCGGGGGAACUGAAACAUCUAAGUACCCCGAGGAAAAGAAAUCAACCGAGAUUCCCCCAGUAGCGGCGAGCGAACGGGGAGCAGCCCGGAGUCUGAAUCAGCUUGUGUGUUAGUGGAACGGUCUGGAAAGUCCGACGGUACAGGGUGAUAGUCCCGUACACGAAAGCACACAUGCUGUGAACUCGAAGAGUAGGGCGGGACACGUGGUAUCCUGUCUGAAUAUGGGGGGACCAUCCUCCAAGGCUAAAUACUCCUGACUGACCGAUAGUGAACCAGUACCGUGAGGGAAAGGCGAAAAGAACCCCGGCGAGGGGAGUGAAAAAGAACCUGAAACCGUGUACGUACAAGCAGUGGGAGCCUCUUUAUGGGGUGACUGCGUACCUUUUGUAUAAUGGGUCAGCGACUUAUAUUCUGUAGCAAGGUUAACCGUAUAGGGGAGCCGAAGGGAAACCGAGUCUUAACUGGGCGUUAAGUUGCAGGGUAUAGACCCGAAACCCGGUGAUCUAGCCAUGGGCAGGUUGAAGGUUGGGUAACACUAACUGGAGGACCGAACCGACUAAUGUUGAAAAAUUAGCGGAUGACCUGUGGCUGGGGGUGAAAGGCCAAUCAAACCGGGAGAUAGCUGGUUCUCCCCGAAAGCUAUUUAGGUAGCGCCUCGUGAACUCAUCUUCGGGGGUAGAGCACUGUUUCGGCUAGGGGGCCAUCCCGGCUUACCAACCCGAUGCAAACUACGAAUACCGAAGAAUGUUAUCACGGGAGACACACGGCGGGUGCUAACGUCCGUCGUGAAGAGGGAAACAACCCAGACCGCCAGCUAAGGUCCCAAAGUCAUGGUUAAGUGGGAAACGAUGUGGGAAGGCACAGACAGCCAGGAUGUUGGCUUAGAAGCAGCCAUCAUUUAAAGAAAGCGUAAUAGCUCACUGGUCGAGUCGGCCUGCGCGGAAGAUGUAACGGGGCUAAACCAUGCACCGAAGCUGCGGCAGCGACACUAUGUGUUGUUGGGUAGGGGAGCGUUCUGUAAGCCGUUGAAGGUGUCCUGUGAGGGGUGCUGGAGGUAUCAGAAGUGCGAAUGCUGACAUAAGUAACGAUAAAGCGGGUGAAAAGCCCGCUCGCCGGAAGACCAAGGGUUCCUGUCCAACGUUAAUCGGGGCAGGGUGAGUCGACCCCUAAGGCGAGGCCGAAAGGCGUAGUCGAUGGGAAACAGGUUAAUAUUCCUGUACUUGGUGUUACUGCGAAGGGGGGACGGAGAAGGCUAUGUCAGCCGGGCGACGGUUGUCCCGGUUUAAGCAUGUAGGCGGAGGUUCCAGGUAAAUCCGGUACCUUAUUAACGCUGAGGUGUGAUGACGAGGCACUACGGUGCUGAAGUGAUAAAUGCCCUGCUUCCAGGAAAAGCCUCUAAGCAUCAGGUAACACGAAAUCGUACCCCAAACCGACACAGGUGGUCAGGUAGAGAAUACCAAGGCGCUUGAGAGAACUCGGGUGAAGGAACUAGGCAAAAUGGUGCCGUAACUUCGGGAGAAGGCACGCUGAUAUGUAGGUGAAGUCCCUGCGGACGGAGCUGAAAUCAGUCGAAGAUACCAGCUGGCUGCAACUGUUUAUUAAAAACACAGCACUGUGCAAACACGAAAGUGGACGUAUACGGUGUGACGCCUGCCCGGUGCCGGAAGGUUAAUUGAUGGGGUUAGCGGCAACGCGAAGCUCUUGAUCGAAGCCCCGGUAAACGGCGGCCGUAACUAUAACGGUCCUAAGGUAGCGAAAUUCCUUGUCGGGUAAGUUCCGACCUGCACGAAUGGCGUAAUGAUGGCCAGGCUGUCUCCACCCGAGACUCAGUGAAAUUGAACUCGCUGUGAAGAUGCAGUGUACCCGCGGCAAGACGGAAAGACCCCGUGAACCUUUACUAUAGCUUGACACUGAACACUGGUCCUUGAUGUGUAGGAUAGGUGGGAGGCUUUGAAGCGUGGACGCCAGUCUGCGUGGAGCCAACCUUGAAAUACCACCCUUUAAUGGCUGGUGUUCUAACGUAGACCCGUAAUCCGGGUUGCGGACAGUGUCUGGUGGGUAGUUUGACUGGGGCGGUCUCCUCCCAAAGAGUAACGGAGGAGCACGAAGGUUGGCUAAUCCUGGUCGGACAUCAGGAGGUUAGUGCAAUGGCAUAAGCCAGCUUGACUGCGAGCGUGACGGCGCGAGCAGGUGCGAAAGCAGGUCAUAGUGAUCCGGUGGUUCUGAAUGGAAGGGCCAUCGCUCAACGGAUAAAAGGUACUCCGGGGAUAACAGGCUGAUACCGCCCAAGAGUUCAUAUCGACGGCGGUGUUUGGCACCUCGAUGUCGGCUCAUCACAUCCUGGGGCUGAAGUAGGUCCCAAGGGUAUGGCUGUUCGCCAUUUAAAGUGGUACGCGAGCUGGGUUUAGAACGUCGUGAGACAGUUCGGUCCCUAUCUGCCGUGGGCGCUGGAGAAUUGAGGGGGGCUGCUCCUAGUACGAGAGGACCGGAGUGGACGCAUCACUGGUGUUCGGGUUGUCAUGCCAAUGGCACUGCCCGGUAGCUAAAUGCGGAAAAGAUAAGUGCUGAAAGCAUCUAAGCACGAAACUUGCCCCGAGAUGAGUUCUCCCUGAGACUUUAAGUCUCCUGAAGGAACGUUGAAGACGACGACGUUGAUAGGUCGGGUGUGUAAGCGCAGCGAUGCGUUGAGCUAACCGAUACUAAUGAACCGUGAGGCUUAACCUU
This 2903-nucleotide ribosomal RNA is filed under the name Enterobacter cloacae. RNAcentral's name for it is "bacterial LSU rRNA". It matches the Rfam family "Bacterial large subunit ribosomal RNA". Lineage: Bacteria; Pseudomonadati; Pseudomonadota; Gammaproteobacteria; Enterobacterales; Enterobacteriaceae. The record is from RNAcentral.